UACGUAGGGUGCAAGCGUUGUCCGGAAUUAUUGGGCGUAAAGCGUGCGCAGGCGGUUUUGUAAGUCUGUCGUGAAAGCCCCGGGCUCAACCUGGGAAUUGCGAUGGAGACUGCAAGGCUUGAAUCUGGCAGAGGGGGGUAGAAUUCCACGUGUAGCAGUGAAAUGCGUAGAGAUGUGGAGGAACACCGAUGGCGAAGGCAGCCCCCUGGGUCAAGAUUGACGCUCAUGCACGAAAGCGUGGGGAUCAAACAGG
Molecule: ribosomal RNA, 253 nt
Filed under: uncultured bacterium
Lineage: Bacteria
Description: partial 16S ribosomal RNA
Rfam family: Bacterial small subunit ribosomal RNA
Source: RNAcentral